AGUAUCCUACGGGAGGCAGCAGUGGGGAAUAUUGCACAAUGGGGGAAACCCUGAUGCAGCGACGCCGCGUGAGUGAAGAAGUAUUUCGGUAUGUAAAGCUCUAUCAGCAGGGAAGAAAAAAGACGGUACCUGACUAAGAAGCUCCGGCUAACUACGUGCCAGCAGCCGCGGUAAUACGUAGGGGGCAAGCGUUAUCCGGAUUUACUGGGUGUAAAGGGAGCGUAGACGGCGCGGCAAGUCUGAAGUGAAAGGCAGGGGCUUAACCCCUGAACUGCUUUGGAAACUGC
RNAcentral lists this ribosomal RNA (287 nucleotides) under uncultured bacterium. RNAcentral describes it as "partial 16S ribosomal RNA". It matches the Rfam family "Bacterial small subunit ribosomal RNA", at positions 333 to 636 of the family's 1533-position model. The record is from RNAcentral.